UACGGAGGGUGCAAGCGUUGUUCGGAAUCAUUGGGCGUAAAGCGCGCGCAGGCGGUCUGGGAAGUCUAUGGGUGAAAUGCCGGGGCUCAACUCCGUGCCCGCCCAAGAUACUCCCAGGCAAGAGACAUGUAGAGGCUGGCGGAAUUCCGGGUGUAGCGGUGGAAUGCGUAGAGAUCCGGAAGAACACCAGAGGCGAAGGCGGCCAGCUGGGCAUGAUCUGACGCUGAGGCGCGAAAGCGUGGGUAGCAAACAGG
Molecule: unclassified non-coding RNA, 254 nt
Filed under: uncultured Gemmatimonadota bacterium
Lineage: Bacteria; Pseudomonadati; Gemmatimonadota
Description: uncultured Gemmatimonadetes bacterium contains 16S-23S intergenic spacer region
Rfam family: Bacterial small subunit ribosomal RNA
Source: RNAcentral